CAGGUCCCCAGUUUGGGCUCACCCUAGGCAAGAGCUGUCCGACAAGGCCUCACUACCCACGGCGUGGUCCAGAGGAAGUCCUCGAGAGCCAAGAGGUCCACUUCCGGUCAUGUGGGUCUGGGCCCCCAGGAGGAGGACCCUGGAGGGUCCUUGGCUCCUCCAAUCAGCUGACCUAAGGCCAACUCCUCACACCAAAGACUUCAAAUCUGUGAGCCUUCUGAUAGGAAUUCAAGGUACACCUCAUCACACAGCUCCUGCCUGAGGCUUCCCACACAUGACUGUCAUAGGAGACACAGCGAGAGAAGGAACACAAGCAGGGUGAGUGGGAGAGGGAGAAG
Lutra lutra (Eurasian river otter) is the source of this 338-nucleotide long non-coding RNA. RefSeq lists it as uncharacterized. NCBI's taxonomy places the organism in Eukaryota, Metazoa, Chordata, Mammalia, Carnivora, Mustelidae. The transcript has 3 exons. The record is from RefSeq and is a predicted model, not a curated record.